GACGAACGCUGGCGGCGUGCUUAACACAUGCAAGUCGAACGAAGAGCGAUGGAAGCUUGCUUCUAUCAAUCUUAGUGGCGAACGGGUGAGUAACGCGUAAUCAACCUGCCCUUCAGAGGGGGACAACAGUUGGAAACGACUGCUAAUACCGCAUACGAUCUAAACUCGGCAUCGAGGAUAGAUGAAAGGUGGCCUCUACAUGUAAGCUAUCACUGAAGGAGGGGAUUGCGUCUGAUUAGCUAGUUGGAGGGGUAACGGACCACCAAGGCGAUGAUCAGUAGCCGGUCUGAGAGGAUGAACGGCCACAUUGGGACUGAGACACGGCCCAGACUCCUACGGGAGGCAGCAGUGGGGAAUCUUCCGCAAUGGACGAAAGUCUGACGGAGCAACGCCGCGUGAGUGAUGACGGCCUUCGGGUUGUAAAGCUCUGUUAAUCGGGACGAAAGGCCUUCUUGCGAAUAGUGAGAAGGAUUGACGGUACCGGAAUAGAAAGCCACGGCUAACUACGUG
RNAcentral lists this ribosomal RNA (510 nucleotides) under uncultured bacterium. Its description in RNAcentral is "partial 16S ribosomal RNA". It matches the Rfam family "Bacterial small subunit ribosomal RNA", at positions 28 to 507 of the family's 1533-position model. The record is from RNAcentral.